Molecule: ribosomal RNA, 253 nt
Filed under: uncultured bacterium
Lineage: Bacteria
Description: partial 16S ribosomal RNA
Rfam family: Bacterial small subunit ribosomal RNA
Source: RNAcentral
UACGAAGGGGGCUAGCGUUGCUCGGAAUCACUGGGCGUAAAGCGCACGUAGGCGGGUCGUUAAGUCAGGGGUGAAAUCCUGGAGCUCAACUCCAGAACUGCCUUUGAUACUGGCGAUCUCGAGUCCGGGAGAGGUGAGUGGAACUGCGAGUGUAGAGGUGAAAUUCGUAGAUAUUCGCAAGAACACCAGUGGCGAAGGCGGCUCACUGGCCCGGUACUGACGCUGAGGUGCGAAAGCGUGUGGAGCAAACAGG